RNAcentral lists this non-coding RNA (159 nucleotides) under Lactobacillus johnsonii. RNAcentral also lists the same sequence under 1 other name. Lineage: Bacteria; Bacillati; Bacillota; Bacilli; Lactobacillales; Lactobacillaceae. The record is from RNAcentral.
ACGGUGACGUUAUGAGUGAAGGAAGUGGCUAGCGAGUUCUCCGAGCCUACGAACAGAAACUUAGUCAGGCCAAAUGGUGGAUAAGACUGCAUAACAAGUCGAAGUCCAGAGGACAAACGUAAAACCAAGACGGUAAACUAAGAGGUUAUGGAAAACAAG